GGUUUGAUCCUGGCUCAGAUUAACCGCUGGCGGAUGCUUUACACAUGCAAGUCGAACGGCAGCACGGACUUCGGUCUAUAGUAAGAGUAUAACUGGUAGUAACAUCGGAACGUGCCUAGUAGCGGGGGAUAACUACGCGAAAAGCGUAGCUGCAUUACCGUAUUACCGCCCUUCGGGGAAAGCGGGGGACCUUCGGGCCUCGCACUAUUAGGAGCGGCCGAUAUCGGAUUAGCUAGUUGGUGGGGUAACGGCUCACCGGCGGCGACGAUCCGUAGCUGGUUUGAGAGAUGACCAGCCACACUGGGAUCGAGACACGGCCCAGACUCCUACGGGAGGCAGCAGUGGGGGGAAUUUUGACACAAUAGGGAACUCCUGAUCCAGCCAUCCCGCGUGUGCGAUGAAGGCCUUCGGGUUGUAAAGCACUUUUGGCAGGAAGAAACGGCACGGAUAAUACCCCGUGCAACUGACGGUACCUGCAGAAUAAGCACCGGCUAAUACACUGUGCCAUGCCGGUAAUACGUAGGGCAAGCGUUAAUCGGAAUUACUGGGCGUAAAAGCGCAGGCGGGUUCGGAAAGAAAGAUGUGAACCAUAGAAAUAACUUGGAACCGGGCAUUUUUAACUACCGAGCUAGAGUGUGUCAGAGUGGAGGUGGAAUUCUGCGUAGCAGUGAAAUGCGUAGAUAUGCGGAGGAACACCAUGGCGAAGGCAGCUUCCUUGGGAUAACACUGACGCUCAUGCACGAAAGCGUGGGGAGCAAACAGGAUUAGAUACCCUGUAGUAGUCCACGCCCUAAACGAUGUCAACUAGCUGUUGGGGGCCUUCGGGCUCGCAGUAGCGCAGCUAACGGUGUGCGUGAAGUUGACCGCCUGGGGAGUACGGCCGCGAGAUUAAAACUCAAAGGAAUUGACGGGGACCCGCAGUACAAGCUGGUGGAUGAUGGAUUAAUUCGAUGCACCAAGGAAAAAACUCACUCACCCUUGACAUGUCUGGAAUCCCGAAGAGAUUUUGGGAGGUCGCUGCAAGAGAACCGGAACACAGGUGCUGCAUGGCUGUCGUCAGCUCGUGUCGAGAUGUUGGCCAAGUCCCGCAACGAGCGCAACCCUUGGUCAUUAGUUGCUACGAAAGGGCACCUAAUGAGACUGCCGGUGACAAACUGGAGGAAGGUGGGGAUGACGUCAAGUCCUCAUGGCUCCUUCAUGGGUAGGGCUUCACAACGUCAUACAAUGGUCGGGACAGAGGGUCGCCAAUCCAGGGAGCCAAUCCCAGAAACCUGAUUUCAGUCCGGAUCGUGGCGUCUGCAACUCGACUGCGUGAAGUCGGGAAUCGCUAGUAAUCGCGGAUCAGCAUGUCGCGGUGGAAGAUGUUCCCGGGUCUUGUACACAUCGCCCGUCACACCAUGGAGUGGGUUUUACCAGAAGUAGUUAGCCUAACCGGCAAGGAGGGAAGGACGUACCACGGUAGGAUUCACAUUCAGCAGCCGUAACAAGGUAG
Molecule: ribosomal RNA, 1492 nt
Filed under: uncultured Bordetella sp.
Lineage: Bacteria; Pseudomonadati; Pseudomonadota; Betaproteobacteria; Burkholderiales; Alcaligenaceae
Description: partial 16S-23S ribosomal RNA intergenic spacer
Rfam family: Bacterial small subunit ribosomal RNA
Source: RNAcentral